RNAcentral lists this transfer RNA (71 nucleotides) under Mucilaginibacter yixingensis. It matches the Rfam family "tRNA". From Rfam's summary of the family: Transfer RNA (tRNA) molecules are approximately 80 nucleotides in length. Their secondary structure includes four short double-helical elements and three loops (D, anti-codon, and T loops). Further hydrogen bonds mediate the characteristic L-shaped molecular structure. tRNAs have two regions of fundamental functional importance: the anti-codon, which is responsible for specific mRNA codon recognition, and the 3' end, to which the tRNAs corresponding amino acid is attached (by aminoacyl-tRNA synthetases). tRNAs cope with the degeneracy of the genetic code in two manners: having more than one tRNA (with a specific anti-codon) for a particular amino acid; and 'wobble' base-pairing, i.e. permitting non-standard base-pairing at the 3rd anti-codon position. The record is from Rfam by way of RNAcentral. Lineage: Bacteria; Pseudomonadati; Bacteroidota; Sphingobacteriia; Sphingobacteriales; Sphingobacteriaceae.
UUUCCACUGGUGUAACGGUAGCACUACAGAUUCUGGUUCUGUCUGUCGAGGUUCGAAUCCUUGGUGGAAAA